AUUGAACGCUGGCGGCAGGCUUAACACAUGCAAGUCGAGCGGGGUGAUGGUGCUUGCACUAUCACUUAGCGGCGGACGGGUGAGUAAUGCUUAGGAAUCUGCCUAUUAGUGGGGGACAACAUCUCGAAAGGGAUGCUAAUACCGCGUACGUCCUACGGGAGAAAGCAGGGGAUCACUUGUGACCUUGCGCUAAUAGAUGAGCCUAAGUCGGAUUAGCUAGUUGGUGGGGUAAAGGCCUACCAAGGCGACGAUCUGUAGCGGGUCUGAGAGGAAGAUCCGCCACACUGGGACUGAGACACGGCCCAGACUCCUACGGGAGGCAGCAGUGGGGAAUAUUGGACAAUGGGGGGAACCCUGAUCCAGCCAUGCCGCGUGUGUGAAGAAGGCCUUAUGGUUGUAAAGCACUUUAAGCGAGGAGGAGGCUCCUUUGGUUAAUACCCAAGAUGAGUGGACGUUACUCGCAGAAUAAGCACCGGCUAACUCUGUGCCAGCCGCCGCCGUAG
RNAcentral lists this ribosomal RNA (503 nucleotides) under uncultured bacterium. Its description in RNAcentral is "partial 16S ribosomal RNA". It matches the Rfam family "Bacterial small subunit ribosomal RNA", at positions 30 to 523 of the family's 1533-position model. The record is from RNAcentral.